CUUGUGGGUUAUCUUGGCUGUAUUUAUAGGCAAUGUGCUGAUUUUAGUUAUUGGACCUGCUGUGUUAGCAUGGGAAGUUACUGGGGGGUUGUGGAAAAUUACAGCCGAUGGGUGUAAGAACAAAGCACAGGAGCUGGUGGUUUGGCAACAGUAUCUUGUUAUAGUCGCGCGAAGCUUUCCUAACACGAAAGGCAUGUAGUUACAAGGACCUAAGAUAAGAUAUGCAUGCUUUCUUACUAACCUAUCAUGAGCUCAGCUUUUGUAAUAUGUAUGAGCUAAUUAGUUGGUAUACCAAUCAGUAUAAUCCACGAUAGUAGUUGUAAUGUAUGUAACAGUAUAAAAGGAUUGUGUAGAGAACAAUAAAGUGGACACUUUGCUUGCAUCAAGUUGCGUCCCCGUCUCUUCAUCGCGGCAAAUGGUGCCCCCCGACGUGAUCUUUGGUGAAGACUCCGCCGGAGGCUGAUAAUCACCUAUCUGGUGGCGUGCUGCGAGUCCCGCAGAACUGGGAACGCUGCUACAAGGAGCAGGGAAAAGCCGGCUACUGAAGUCAUCACCCCCGUCUGGAACGAGAGAAGGGAACCGACAAGCGGAUUUGCUUACGCUACCGGUGCAGGUGUUACCAGAUCGAUUAGCGCAAGCUCGACUCAGCCACUCCUUUUUUCAUCAAAAUGCUGCAGGCCUUAAGCGUCAAUUUGACCUCACUACACAACAAGCCCAUGAUAUCAUUGCGGUGUGUCCUGAUUGUCAAAGGCACUCUUUCCCUUCUAUAGCAGGAGGAGUUAACCCCAGAGGACUACAAAGCCUUCAACUCUGGCAAACAGAUGUCACUCAUUUUGCUGAAUUUGGUCGUUUAAAGUUUGUUCAUUGCUCUAUUGAUACAUUUUCCGGAAUGUUAUUUGCCUCCUGUCAUGUAGGAGAAAAAGCACGCGAUGUGCGAAAACAUCUGAUGCGCGCCUUUGCUACUUUAGGGGUACCCUCUCAAAUCAAAACUGAUAAUGGCCCUGCGUAUAUGUCUAAGACCUUAACGACCUUUUUUGCCUCUUGGGGUAUAUCACACAUUACAGGUAUCCCUCAUUCUCCUACGGGACAAGCUUUGAUAGAACGAUCUCACCAAACCUUAAAACGUUUGUUAUUAAAACAAAAAGGGGGAAUAGGGGCUGCUACACCAGAGGAGCGCUUACAGAAAGCCUUGUAUGUUUUUAAUUUUUUGAAUUGUUCCCUGUUAGACAGCAAUCCUCCAGUAGUUCGUCAUUUUAGCACAAACACCCUUUUUGAACCCAAGAUUAAGCCGCCAGUAUUGAUCCGGGACCCCGAAACAGGUAAAGUGAUGGGACCCUAUCCCCUUGUUACAUGGGGUAGAGGUUAUGCUUGUGUUUCCACAGAGAGAGGUCCUCGCUGGAUCCCGGCAAAGAACGUGAGACCCUUCCGAGAAACAUUGCAACGGCAGUCUUCUGAUAACGCUCCAGAACCUGCGUUCGAUGAGGAGAACGUUGCUCCCGAAUGAAUUCCGUCUCAGAAACAGAUAAGCGAGAGCUUCAAUGUCCAGACUGCGAAGUGUGCAAUUUCUGGAUCCUUAGAAUUUGUGCUGACUGCGAAAGACCACAGUGGGUAAAUAGGUGCCGCGUAAAACGGUGGUGUGACUAUUGUUUGCAGGAUUAUCAAGGGCUCUUACAGAGGCUGUCAGUGGAAACUGGAAUUGAGGGCGAUAGAACUCGCUCCUAUCAGGAAAAAUUAGAAAAAUGGCAUAGGUAUAUUUUUGAGCAAUCAAAUAUUGUCCUUUGGAAAGCCAUUGAAUGUGAUAAAUCUGUUCCAGUACCACAGACCUGGGAAGUAAACCCCGAUAAGUGGGAGGAAACAAAAAGGAGGUGUCGGAAAAAGAGAAACAGAAGGAAGACUAAGAGCCUGCAGGAAUGGGCCAAGUAUUAAUCUUUUUGUUAAGUACUAUAAGCUUAGGUCUUAGCUUUGAUUUACAUCAUGUUGACCCUCGUACUAAUGUGUGGCUCACGUGGGCAAAUCGUACUGGGACCACAGACUUUUGUCUGUCCCUGGCGCAAGUAAGCGAUCCGUUUAGAACAUGUUUAAUUGGGUACCCAUAUGUACACCUAGACGAUUUUCGAGGUUACGUUAACACCCCUGAUUUGUCGAAUGUACUCAAUUCCUCAUAUUGGCAAUGGAGGAGAAAUAACAGUGACGGAUGGUGUAUAAAAAGUAGCGACUGGCCAGUAGAGCAGGGAGCCAUGCUCCAGCAAGGCUUAAUUCAAAGGCUCAAUUUCUCUAAUCACUUACCGUUUCAGGAACUGACACUUUGGGGCUCCUUCCCUCCACAGGGGGAAUGGGAGAACAUCUCAAAUCGCGAAAAUUGCUCUAAUAUGAGUCCGGAGAUUCUUCCUGUUAACGGGACUGGAGUGGUCUAUUUUGGUGAUAGCUGGACUGGGUAUUUGAUUCGAGAUGGUCACAAAGAGACAUUAGAUUCACUGAUUCAUUAUCAAAACGUGUCAGGUAACUCUGGUCAUUGGAACAUUUCAAUGAAUACAGGGGCUAGAGAUGUGGCCGAUAUCACUGGACAGGUAAGGUUGCCAAAAGGCUAUUUCUUGAUUUGUGGAGAUAGAGCAUGGCCCGGAAUUCCUUUUAAACCUGUGGGAGGACCUUGUUAUAUUGGGAGACUUACGCUGUUCGCACCUCAUAUGAGGGACAUGCUUAAUCGUUCCCUGAGCAAUAGUACCAGAUCAAAAAGGUCAUUGCGACAAUUACAACCAGAUUGCGAUGAUCACGUCAAUUUAGGGUCUUUAGGAUCUACUAUAGCUCUGUCCCUAUUUUUGCCUGGUGGAAUGGCCGCAAGCAAUUGGAAUAAAAUAAAACAAUUGGCAUGCUGGGCUGUCAAAGAAUUUAACACGACCUCUGACAUUUUGUCAGGAUUAGCUCAAGAUGUAGAUAGCUUACGACAUGUAGUCCUACAGAAUCGUGCCGCCAUAGAUUUCCUUUUACUAGCCCACGGACAUGGAUGUCAAGAAUUUGAAGGAAUGUGUUGCAUGAAUCUAUCUGAUCACUCUGUGAGCAUUCAUAAACAGAUUGCAGAACUACGAGAAAGGAUUCACAAUGUGCAGGAAGGAAUGGAUGGACUCGAUGGGUGGCUAGCUUCUUGGGGAAUUACAGGGUGGAUAAAAGAUUUACUUAAACAGGGAAUUUUGAUCCUUUUAGUAAUUUGUGUAUUAUUACUAACGAUUCCAUGUAUUUUGCAGUGCUUACAAAAGUCGAUAACCGCUUCAGUAAAUAAGAUUUUUCUUGUACAAGCACAAGACCUUCCGAAAACUCCCAGUACAGAAAUGUUGGUGAAGCAAGACGUCCUCGAACUGGUUGGGCGCCGACCUUGGGAAGAAGCAAAUGUUUGAAAACAAAAAGGGGGAGAUGUGGGUUAUCUUGGCUGUAUUUAUAGGCAAUGUGCUGAUUUUAGUUAUUGGACCUGCUGUGUUAGCAUGGGAAGUUACUGGGGGGUUGUGGAAAAUUACAGCCGAUGGGUGUAAGAACAAAGCACAGGAGCUGGUGGUUUGGCAACAGUAUCUUGUUAUAGUCGCGCGAAGCUUUCCUAACACGAAAGGCAUGUAGUUACAAGGACCUAAGAUAAGAUAUGCAUGCUUUCUUACUAACCUAUCAUGAGCUCAGCUUUUGUAAUAUGUAUGAGCUAAUUAGUUGGUAUACCAAUCAGUAUAAUCCACGAUAGUAGUUGUAAUGUAUGUAACAGUAUAAAAGGAUUGUGUAGAGAACAAUAAAGUGGACACUUUGCUUGCA
Long non-coding RNA from Columba livia (rock pigeon), 3786 nucleotides. RefSeq lists it as uncharacterized. The record is from RefSeq and is a predicted model, not a curated record. NCBI's taxonomy places the organism in Eukaryota, Metazoa, Chordata, Aves, Columbiformes, Columbidae. The transcript has 2 exons.